RNAcentral lists this transfer RNA (69 nucleotides) under Moschus moschiferus (Siberian musk deer). RNAcentral describes it as "tRNA-Ala". It matches the Rfam family "tRNA". From Rfam's summary of the family: Transfer RNA (tRNA) molecules are approximately 80 nucleotides in length. Lineage: Eukaryota; Metazoa; Chordata; Mammalia; Artiodactyla; Moschidae. The record is from RNAcentral.
GAGGACUUAGCUUAAUUAAAGUAAUUGAUUUGCAUUCAGUUGAUGUAAGAUAUAGUCUUGCAGUCCUUA